RNAcentral lists this ribosomal RNA (1679 nucleotides) under Paraluteres prionurus (blacksaddle filefish). Its description in RNAcentral is "16S rRNA". The stretch from base 102 to 1566 matches the Rfam family "Bacterial large subunit ribosomal RNA". The record is from RNAcentral. Lineage: Eukaryota; Metazoa; Chordata; Actinopteri; Tetraodontiformes; Monacanthidae.
GGCCUAACAGCUAGCCUAACCAACCAAAAACAACAACCAACCAUCAAUAACCCCUGAUACACCUAAAAAAACAAACAAACCAUUUUUCCCCUUUAGUAUAGGAGAUAGAAAAAGACAUCUGAGCUAUAGAAAAAGUACCGCAAGGGAACGCUGAAAGAGAAAUGAAACAACCCAGUGAAGCAAAAAAAAGCAGAGAUUAAAACUCGUACCUUUUGCAUCAUGAUUUAGCUAGCAAUUCCUAAGCAAAAAGAAUUUUAGUUUAGUUCCCCGAAACUAAGUGAGCUACUCCAAGACAGCCUAUUAUAAGGGCACACCCGUCUCUGUGGCAAAAGAGUGGGAAGAGCUUUGAGUAGAGGUGACAGACCUACCGAACUUAGUUAUAGCUGGUUGCCUGCAAACUGGAUAGAAGUUCAGCCCUUUACACUUCUUGAAUCAAGCCUGGAAUACCCUAACUGAACUAAAGAAUGUAAAGGAGUUAGUUAAAGGAGGUACAGCUCCUUUAUUUCAAGACACAACUUCCCCGGGAGGAUAAAGAUCAUAAUCAACCAAGGGACCUAUGUUUAGGUGGGCCUAAAAGCAGCCACCCUAAUAGAAAGCGUUAAAGCUCAAACAUAACACCUCCCACUAAUACUGAUAUAGCCUCUGACUCCCCCACCGAUAGCAGGCCCUCUCAUGCCCCCAUGAGAAUGAUUAUGCUAAUAUGAGUAAUAAGAAAGAAAGACUUUCUCCAAGCACACGUUUACAUCGGAACGAACCCCCACCGAAAAUUAAAGGACCCAACCAAAGAGGGCAGUGAAAAUAUAAGAGAACACAAGAAAAGCACUCAACAACCAACCUUUAACCCCACACUGGCGUGCUAACAAAGGAAAAACUAAAAGAGAAAGAAGGAACUCGGCAAACACAAGCCUCGCCUGUUUACCAAAAACAUCGCCUCUUGAACCCCAAAUAUAAGAGGUCCCGCCUGCCCUGUGACUUUAAGUUUAACGGCCGCGGUAUCUUAACCGUGCGAAGGUAGCGCAAUCACUUGUCUCUUAAAUAGGGACCUGUAUGAAUGGCAUAACGAGGGCUUAGCUGUCUCCUUUCUCAAGUUAAUGAAAUUGACCUCCCCGUGCAGAGGCGGGGAUACCUACAUAAGACGAGAAGACCCUAUGGAGCUUUAGGCACAAGAACUGCCCAUGUAAAAACCUCCUAAAAAAGAAUAUAACCUUAUGGACCCAGUUCAUAUGCCUUUGGUUGGGGCGACCGCGGGGAAACAAAAAACCCCCAUGUGGACCGGGGCCUCUGGCCCUAGAAACAAGAGCUCCCGCUCUAAUUAACAGAACUUCUGACCUCUCUGAUCCGGAACUUAACCGAUCAACGAACCGAGUUACCCUAGGGAUAACAGCGCAAUCCCCUUCUAGAGCCCAUAUCGACAAGGGGGUUUACGACCUCGAUGUUGGAUCAGGAUGUCCUAAUGGUGCAGCCGCUAUUAAGGGUUCGUUUGUUCAACGAUUAAAAUCCUACGUGAUCUGAGUUCAGACCGGAGUAAUCCAGGUCGGUUUCUAUCUAUGAUGUAAUUUAUUUCAGUACGAAAGGACCAAAAAAAUGAGGCCCCUGCUUCAAACAAGCCUCCCCCUCACUUACUGACUCCUACUUAAGUAAAUAAGAGGGUACACCCCGUAAGCCACAGAAAAUGGCAU